Molecule: ribosomal RNA, 485 nt
Filed under: uncultured bacterium
Lineage: Bacteria
Description: partial 16S ribosomal RNA
Rfam family: Bacterial small subunit ribosomal RNA
Source: RNAcentral
GAUGAACGCUGGCGGCGUGCUUAACACAUGCAAGUCGAACGGAAAGGCCUCUGCUUGCAGGGGUACUCGAGUGGCGAACGGGUGAGUAACACGUGGGUGAUCUGCCCUGCACUUCGGGAUAAGCCUUGGAAACUGGGUCUAAUACCGGAUAGGACAAUGGUUUGGGUGCUGUUGUGGAAAGUUUUUCGGUUUGGGUGUAGCUUGCGGCGUAUCAGCUUGUUGGUGGGGUAAUGGCUUACCAAGGGGUAUACGGGUAGCCGGCCUGAGAGGGUUAGCGGCCCGGCGAGAGUUGAGAGACAGAUUAGACCUGUAAGAGGGGCAACAGUAGGACGGGUGGCAGCAGGGGCGAAUGUUGGACAAAGGGAGGAAGCCUGAGUGAGCGACGUCGCGGGGGGGAUGACGGCUGUUGGGUGGGAAGCACAUUUGGCUAGGGACGAAGGGUUGUUGUGACGGUACCUGGAGAAGAAGCACCGGCUAACUACGUG